CGGCAAACGGGUGCGGAACACGUACACAACCUUCCUUUAAGUGGGGGAUAGCCCAGAGAAAUUUGGAUUAAUACCCCGUAAUAUUUUCGAGUGGCAUCACUCAGGAAUUAAAGCUACGGCGCUUGGAGAUGGGUGUGCGUCUGAUUAGGUAGUUGGUUGAGGUAACGGCUCACCAAGCCUUCGAUCAGUAACUGGUGUGAGAGCACGACCAGUCACACGGGCACUGAGACACGGGCCCGACUCCUACGGGAGGCAGCAGUAAGGAAUAUUGGUCAAUGGACGCAAGUCUGAACCAGCCAUGCCGCGUGGAGGAUGAAGGUCCUCUGGAUUGUAAACUUCUUUUAUCUGGGAAGAAAUGCAUUUUUUCUAAAGUGUUUGACGGUACCAGAAGAAUAAGCACCGGCUAACUCCGUGCCAGCAGCCGCGGUAAUACGGAGGGUGCAAGCGUUAUCCGGAUUCACUGGGUUUAAAGGGUGCGUAGGUGGGCAUUUAAGUCAGUGGUGAAAUCUCCGGGCUUAACCCGGAAACUGCCAUUGAUACUAUAUGUCUUGAAUACCGUGGAGGUGAGCGGAAUAUGUCAUGUAGCGGUGAAAUGCUUAGAUAUGACAUAGAACACCAAUUGCGAAGGCAGCUCACUACACGGACUAUUGACACUGAGGCACGAAAGCGUGGGGAUCAAACAGGAUUAGAUACCCUGGUAGUCCACGCCCUAAACGAUGGAUACUCGACAUACGCGAUACACAGUGUGUGUC
This 752-nucleotide ribosomal RNA is filed under the name uncultured Bacteroidota bacterium. RNAcentral describes it as "bacterial SSU rRNA". It matches the Rfam family "Bacterial small subunit ribosomal RNA", at positions 96 to 847 of the family's 1533-position model. The record is from RNAcentral. Lineage: Bacteria; Pseudomonadati; Bacteroidota.